AUGGCAGCCUCCACCUGGCAGUCCUACGGAUAUUUACGGGAUGACACAAGCCAGGCACGAGGCACAGACUGCGCCACGUCCCGGGGAGGUUCGGCAGUAGCACGCCAGGAGCGCAGCCCUCAGCCUCGCCAGCAGGGCCUGGGUGCCACGAUCCGGGCACGCGGCCCCACCAUGAGCUCCGCGGGGAUGGAAGGAGAAAGCCCUCCGAAGGUGUACGAGAUGCAGGUGGGGCAGCAGUGGGCUGGCAGCGGGCGCACGGUGAGGCCGGUGGUGUACAGGCUGGAGGAGAGCGAGUACCGGCGGCUGCUGAAGGAGGCAGAGGAAGGCCCCGAGGAGGAGUGGGAGCCUGAGAAUGAGGGGCUCGGACCGCAGGAGGGCUGCCCAGGGAAUGGGGUGACAGCGAGCCCCAGGCUCCAUCGGAUUGACGUGCUGCGGGGAGCCCCGCUGUGCCGCUCGUACUCGGAGAGCAGCGUGGAGCUGCGGGCGGCGAGCAAAGCGCCGGGCUGCCCCAUGGAGGGUGGCAAACCCCGCGUCCCCGCCAGAUCAGACAGCUUCGAGCUGAUGGAUUACAUCCUGCAGAGCAGGCAGGAGGCGGGGGCACCGCUGUCCCACAGCCCCCGCGACGGAUUCACGCAGGUGUUGGGCUUUGCACCGUGCCAGAAUGGAGAGGAUGGGCAGCUCGCAAAGAGUCGGGCGGCCAGGGAUGCUCCAAAGCUUUCAAGACAGAACAGCACCCAGGUGCCGGAGAGCAGGGAAUGGCUCGGAGCAGACAUGGAUAUGGAGAUGCUGGAGUCAUACAGUCAGAAAAAAUCACCUCCGGCCCCACCGGUCAGGUCGCACAGUAAGGAGAGCCUGGCGCUGAGCAUGAGCAAGACCGUGGCACUGAGCGAGGCGCUGCUGGAGCCCUGCGGCCCCACAGCCCAGCCAGGAGGGAAGGAGCCAGAAGGAGGGGGCCCAAAGGAGCAAGGGAGGAAGAGCGAGGAGGAGGAGGAGGAGGAGGAGAAAGUGCUCAAAGUCGCCGACGCGAAGAAAACCUUUGAGAAGGCAAAAGCAGAGGGGAAGGCAGCGACUGGCAGCACCCGGAAAGGUGAGGGGGGCAAUGGGGGGGGGAGCGGGGCACAGCUGCACAAAAUGGGCAGAAAGACAAGGGUCUGCAGGGUGGGGGAUGCGGGGCACGGCUGCGUCCUGCAGAGCUGUGGUUGUGUGAGGGAAGGAAUUGCGAUGGGUGCCAGCGGAACUGCUGUGUGA
Molecule: long non-coding RNA, 1248 nt
Filed under: Numida meleagris (helmeted guineafowl)
Lineage: Eukaryota; Metazoa; Chordata; Aves; Galliformes; Numididae
Description: lncRNA (ENSNMEG00000021147.1)
Source: RNAcentral